AAAUUGAAGAGUUUGAUCAUGGCUCAGAUUGAACGCUGGCGGCAGGCCUAACACAUGCAAGUCGAACGGUAACAGGAAGCAGCUUGCUGCUUUGCUGACGAGUGGCGGACGGGUGAGUAAUGUCUGGGAAACUGCCUGAUGGAGGGGGAUAACUACUGGAAACGGUGGCUAAUACCGCAUAACGUCGCAAGACCAAAGAGGGGGACCUUCGGGCCUCUUGCACAUCAGAUGUGCCCAGAUGGGAUUAGCU
This 250-nucleotide ribosomal RNA is filed under the name Salmonella enterica. RNAcentral describes it as "partial 16S ribosomal RNA". It matches the Rfam family "Bacterial small subunit ribosomal RNA", at positions 1 to 246 of the family's 1533-position model. The record is from RNAcentral. Lineage: Bacteria; Pseudomonadati; Pseudomonadota; Gammaproteobacteria; Enterobacterales; Enterobacteriaceae.